This 468-nucleotide ribosomal RNA is filed under the name uncultured bacterium. Its description in RNAcentral is "partial 16S ribosomal RNA". It matches the Rfam family "Bacterial small subunit ribosomal RNA", at positions 28 to 507 of the family's 1533-position model. The record is from RNAcentral.
GACGAACGCUGGCGGCGUGCUUAACACAUGCAAGUCGAACGGAAAGGCCCUGCUUUUGUGGGGUGCUCGAGUGGCGAACGGGUGAGUAACACGUGAGUAACCUGCCCUUGACUUUGGGAUAACUUCAGGAAACUGGGGCUAAUACCGGAUAGGAGCUCCUGCUGCAUGGUGGGGGUUAGAAAGUUUCGGCGGUUGGGGAUGGACUCGCGGCUUAUCAGCUUGUUGGUGGGGUAGUGGCUUACCAAGGCUUUGACGGGUAGCCGGCCUGAGAGGGUGACCGGCCACAUUGGGACUGAGAUACGGCCCAGACUCCUACGGGAGGCAGCAGUGGGGAAUAUUGCACAAUGGGCGGAAGCCUGAUGCAGCAACGCCGCGUGCGGGAUGAAGGCCUUCGGGUUGUAAACCGCUUUCGCCUGUGACGAAGCGUGAGUGACGGUAAUGGGUAAAGAAGCACCGGCUAACUACGUG